GACAGAAGGGAGCUGCGUGGAAAGGGUUGGCUGGGACUCCUGGACUCGGAGCUCUUCAGGAUGUAGAGCAGCAGCCAGGCGGGGGGUCAUGGGUAGCCCCGCGGCUGGCGGUUGUGAUGGAGGAAACUAGGAAAGAUGGGAGGUGGCAGGGCUCAGUCUGGUCCCUAUGGCCAGUGCCCAGGAAGGAUGUAUUCUCUGGCCGUGGGUACUCCGGGUCCUAGGAGUCAAGGGGAAGAGAUCCGGAGGAGCUCUAGCCACGGGCAAGCUUUGUGCCACCUUUUCAAGCCAGUGGCACCAGCUGAGUACUCUGCCUCUGGGCCCUCCUAAGGCCAUGUCUGUGGACUCAGUGCCCUUCCUGGCAUGCUGGCCUCCUGGUCAGCAGCUGUAGGGAUCAAGAUGGAGAACUCACUGCUCCUUCUCCAGCACCAUGUCUGCCUGCACACUUGCCACCAUAUCCCACCAUGAUGAUAAUGGACUAAACCUCUGAACUGU
Long non-coding RNA from Peromyscus eremicus (cactus mouse), 492 nucleotides. RefSeq lists it as uncharacterized. The record is from RefSeq and is a predicted model, not a curated record. The transcript is spliced from 3 exons. NCBI's taxonomy places the organism in Eukaryota, Metazoa, Chordata, Mammalia, Rodentia, Cricetidae.